Molecule: ribosomal RNA, 235 nt
Filed under: uncultured bacterium
Lineage: Bacteria
Description: partial 16S ribosomal RNA
Rfam family: Bacterial small subunit ribosomal RNA
Source: RNAcentral
UAACCUGCCUUAUAGUGGGGGAUAGCCUUUCGAAAGGAAGAUUAAUACCGCAUAAGAUUGUAGUAUCGCAUGAUAUAGCAAUUAAAGGAGCAAUCCGCUAUAAGAUGGACCCGCGUCGCAUUAGCUAGUUGGUGAGGUAAUGGCUCACCAAGGCGACGAUGCGUAGCCGACCUGAGAGGGUGAUCGGCCACAUUGGGACUGAGACACGGCCCAGACUCCUACGGGAGGCAGCAUG